UGGGGAAUAUUGCACAAUGGAGGGAACUCUGAUGCAGCGACGCCGCGUGAACGAAGAAGGCUUUCGAGUCGUAAAGUUCUUUUAUAUGGGAAGAUAAUGACGGUACCAUAAGAAAAAGCCCCGGCUAACUACGUGCCAGCAGCCGCGGUAAUACGUAGGGGGCUAGCGUUGUCCGGAAUCACUGGGCGUAAAGGGUUCGCAGGCGGAAAUGCAAGUCAGGUGUAAAAGGCAGUAGCUUAACUACUGUAAGCAUUUGAAACUGCAUAUCUUGAGAAGAGUAGAGGUAAGUGGAAUUUUUAGUGUAGCGGUGAAAUGCGUAGAUAUUAGGAGGAAUACCGGUGGCGAAGGCGACUUUCUGGACUGUUACUGACGCUCAGGUACGAAAGCGUGGGGAGCAAACAGG
Molecule: ribosomal RNA, 403 nt
Filed under: Verrucomicrobiota bacterium
Lineage: Bacteria; Pseudomonadati; Verrucomicrobiota
Description: Verrucomicrobia bacterium partial 16S ribosomal RNA
Rfam family: Bacterial small subunit ribosomal RNA
Source: RNAcentral